This 329-nucleotide ribosomal RNA is filed under the name uncultured bacterium. Its description in RNAcentral is "bacterial SSU rRNA". It matches the Rfam family "Bacterial small subunit ribosomal RNA", at positions 1 to 334 of the family's 1533-position model. The record is from RNAcentral.
CUAGCGACUUCAGAGUUUGAUCCUGGCUCAGGAUGAACGCUGGCGGCGUGCCUAAUACAUGCAAGUCGAACGAAUCACUUCGGUGGUUAGUGGCGAACGGGUGAGUAAUACGUAAGCAACCUGCCUAUGGGACUGGGAUAACGUUUGGAAACGGACGCUAAUACCGGAUAGGUAGAGAGGAGGCAUCUCUUCUCUAUUAAAGUUUAGAUACACCGAUAGAUGGGCUUACGGCGCAUUAGCUAGUUGGUGAGGUAACGGCUCACCAAGGCGAUGAUGCGUAGCCGGACUGAGAGGUUGAACGGCCACAUUGGGACUGAGACACGGCCCAA